CGAACGAUGAACCGGCUUCGGCCGGGGAUUAGUGGCGAACGGGUGAGUAACACGUGGGCAAUCUGCCCUGCACUCUGGGACAAGCCCUGGAAACGGGGUCUAAUACCGGAUACGACACGCUCAGGCAUCUGAUGCGUGUGGAAAGCUCCGGCGGUGCAGGAUGAGCCCGCGGCCUAUCAGCUUGUUGGUGAGGUAAUGGCUCACCAAGGCGACGACGGGUAGCCGGCCUGAGAGGGCGACCGGCCACACUGGGACUGAGACACGGCCCAGACUCCUACGGGAGGCAGCAGUGGGGAAUAUUGCACAAUGGGCGCAAGCCUGAUGCAGCGACGCCGCGUGAGGGAUGACGGCCUUCGGGUUGUAAACCUCUUUCAGCAGGGAAGAAGCGAAAGUGACGGUACCUGCAGAAGAAGCGCCGGCUAACUACGUGCCAGCAGCCGCGGUAAUACGUAGGGCGCGAGCGUUGUCCGGAAUUAUUGGGCGUAAAGAGCUCGUAGGCGGCUUGUCGCGUCGGUUGUGAAAGCCCGGGGCUUAACCCCGGGUCUGCAGUCGAUACGGGCAGGCUAGAGUUCGGUAGGGGAGAUCGGAAUUCCUGGUGUAGCGGUGAAAUGCGCAGAUAUCAGGAGGAACACCGGUGGCGAAGGCGGAUCUCUGGGCCGAUACUGACGCUGAGGAGCGAAAGCGUGGGGAGCGAACAGGAUUAGAUACCCUGGUAGUCCACGCCGUAAACGGUGGGCACUAGGUGUGGGCAACAUUCCACGUUGUCCGUGCCGCAGCUAACGCAUUAAGUGCCCCCGCCUGGGGAGUAC
Molecule: ribosomal RNA, 809 nt
Filed under: Streptomyces sp.
Lineage: Bacteria; Bacillati; Actinomycetota; Actinomycetes; Kitasatosporales; Streptomycetaceae
Description: bacterial SSU rRNA
Rfam family: Bacterial small subunit ribosomal RNA
Source: RNAcentral